CCAGUUUCAACAACAUGGGCAUUGACAAUGUACCAGUGAUUUAAUGUUUCACUCAAUGCAUCUUCAUUGUGUCCUAAUAUUUCCUAUGAAAAAAAACAACAUUAAUUGGAUAAUUACAAAUGAGAGAAGAACAACCAACUGGUUGUUUUGUUGAUGCUUGACGUCCCUCAACGACAUUCGGAAUGAUAUCAUCAAGAUGCAUCAAAAACAACUGAAAAAAUAAAUGACCAAUUAUUAUUUUCAUAACUGGGAUAUUAAAAAUAUUUAUUUUUGAAUAAUUGUGAUGAAAGAACACCAGCUAAACUCAAAGGUACCUUAUUUGUUAUUUUUUUUUUUUCUAAAAAAAGUUGUAUUUAAUUAUUAUUUUUAAUUAUUAUUUAAUUAACUACAUUUUAAUUAAUGCUUUCAUAAUCAGUUGGUGUUAUUAAAACUGCUAAAGAAAUAAUUUUCUUUAUAAAUUUUCUUAGACUGGCGUGUGUUUUCAAGGACAUUUAUUAUUUAUUUUUUUUUUUUAUUUUAAUUUGUUUAUAAUAAUAAAAGACAAUCAGUAGACACGGUGCUCGUCGAAUGACUAAUUACAAUGACAAAACUAAACUUUCAAGUACAUAAUUUUUCCUUUCUUUUUUUUUUAUUUAUUUAUAUAUUUUUUAAAUAAUUAUUAUAACAAUUUUAAAUAGUUUUUUUCUAC
Molecule: long non-coding RNA, 688 nt
Organism: Aphidius gifuensis
Lineage: Eukaryota; Metazoa; Arthropoda; Insecta; Hymenoptera; Braconidae
Exons: 2
Source: RefSeq, a predicted model, not a curated record